AUUGAACGCUGGCGGCAGGCUUAACACAUGCAAGUCGAACGAGUGGCGGACGGGUGAGUAAUGCUUGGGAAUCUAGCUUAUGGAGGGGGAUAACUACGGGAAACUGUAGCUAAUACCGCGUACCAUAGGAUGAGCCCAAGUGGGCUUGGGUAGUUGGUGGGGUAAAGGCUCACCAAGCCGACGAUCUCUAGCUGGUCUGAGAGGAUGACCGACCAAACGGGGACUGGGGCACUGCCAAGACUCCGACGGGAGGAAGCGUGGGUGAAUUUUGCAAUAUGGGCGCAAGGCUGAAGGAGCCAUGCCGCGUGUAUGAAGAAGGCCUUCGGGUUGUAAAGUACUUUCAGCGGGGCGGCGGUAACCGGAGAAGAAGCACCGGCUAACUCCGUGCCAGCCGCCGCGGUAAUUC
RNAcentral lists this ribosomal RNA (406 nucleotides) under uncultured bacterium. RNAcentral's name for it is "partial 16S ribosomal RNA". It matches the Rfam family "Bacterial small subunit ribosomal RNA", at positions 30 to 526 of the family's 1533-position model. The record is from RNAcentral.